AUUGAACGCUAGCGGGAUGCCUUACACAUGCAAGUCGACCGGAGUGGCGAACGGGUGAGUAAUGUAUAGGAACGUGCCCAGUAGCGGGGGAUAACUACGCGAAAGCGUAGCUAAUAACGCAUACUAUUAGAGCGGCCGAUAUCGGCUUAGCGAGUUGGUGGGGUAACGGAUCACCAGGGCGACUAUCCUGAGCUGGUUUGAGAGGACGACCCGCCACACUGGGACGGAGACACGGCCCAGACUCCUACGGUAGGCAGCAGUGGGGAGUUUUGGACAAUGGGGGAAACGCUGAUCCAGCCAGCCCGCGUGUGCAAUGAAGGCCUUCGGGUUGUAAAGCACUUUUGGCAGGAAAACGGUAGCUGCAGAAUAAGCACCGGCUAACUACGUGCCAGCAGCGGCGGUAAUUC
This 407-nucleotide ribosomal RNA is filed under the name uncultured bacterium. Its description in RNAcentral is "partial 16S ribosomal RNA". It matches the Rfam family "Bacterial small subunit ribosomal RNA", at positions 30 to 526 of the family's 1533-position model. The record is from RNAcentral.